This 351-nucleotide ribosomal RNA is filed under the name uncultured bacterium. RNAcentral's name for it is "bacterial SSU rRNA". It matches the Rfam family "Bacterial small subunit ribosomal RNA", at positions 917 to 1269 of the family's 1533-position model. The record is from RNAcentral.
GGGCCCGCACAAGCGGUGGAGCAUGUGGUUUAAUUCGAUGAUACGCGAGGAACCUUACCAGGGCUUAAAUGUAGAACGACCGAUUUGGAAACAAGUCUUCUCUUUGAGCGGUCUACAAGGUGCUGCAUGGUUGUCGUCAGCUCGUGCCGUGAGGUGUCGGGUUAAGUCCCUUAACGAGCGCAACCCCUAUCUCUAGUUGCCAGCGGAUAAUGCCGGGGACUCUAGAGAAACUGCCCGUGCAAACGGUGAGGAAGGUGGGGAUGACGUCAAAUCAUCACGGCCCUUACGUCCUGGGCUACACACGUGCUACAAUGGUCGGUACAGAGGGCAGCUACCGGGUGACCGGAUGCG